UGGGGAAUAUUGCACAAUGGGCGCAAGCCUGAUGCAGCCAUGCCGCGUGUAUGAAGAAGGCCUUCGGGUUGUAAAGUACUUUCAGCGGGGAGGAAGGGAGUAAAGUUAAUACCUUUGCUCAUUGACGUUACCCGCAGAAGAAGCACCGGCUAACUCCGUGCCAGCAGCCGCGGUAAUACGGAGGGUGCAAGCGUUAAUCGGAAUUACUGGGCGUAAAGCGCACGCAGGCGGUUUGUUAAGUCAGAUGUGAAAUCCCCGGGCUCAACCUGGGAACUGCAUCGGAUACUGGCAAGCUUGAGUCUCGUAGAGGGGGGUAGAAUUCCAGGUGUAGCGGUGAAAUGCGUAGAGAUCUGGCGGAAUACCGGUGGCGAAGGCGGCCCCCUGGACGAAGACUGACGCUCAGGUGCGAAAGCGUGGGGAGCAAACAGG
Molecule: ribosomal RNA, 429 nt
Filed under: Chloroflexota bacterium
Lineage: Bacteria; Bacillati; Chloroflexota
Description: Chloroflexi bacterium partial 16S ribosomal RNA
Rfam family: Bacterial small subunit ribosomal RNA
Source: RNAcentral